CAUUACACACAGGAACAAUAAUAACUAUAGUGGUAAUAAUUGCAGUAAUAACAAAAGCAAUAUCAACAAAAGUAGUGUGAACAAAAGUAGUGUCAACAACAAUAACAUGAAAACUGUAAAGAAAGACUUUAAAGAGAGUUAUAAGAAACCCAUUUUGUAUAAUCACCGAAUAAAUAAUAACAAUAAAACAAAUAUAAAUACAGAUAAAAUAGAUACUAGAGUAGUAAAUAACAGUAUUAAGAAUGAAAGGUACAACAAUAAAACAUAUGUACAAAGUACUAAUAUACCAAAACAUAAAAACAAUCCUAAUAGCCAUUUAAAUACACUAAAUAGUUAUAAAAAAAUAAAUGUCUCGGAAAAAAAAGAUUAUAAUAAUAAGAAUAAUAAUAAUAACAGUAAUAAUAAUAAGAAUAAUUACAAUAGAAUAUUAACGAAAAAAACGCAACAAGAUGUAGAUCGUUCCAAUAUAAAACAUAAUAUACCUCCUCAAAAUCAACAACAUAUGAAAAAUAUAAAUUCUGUAACAAACACAACGAGCAAUAGUUUAUUAGAGGAGAAAGUAAAAGAACCCAACAGCUCAAAUUCAGAAUAUGAUGCGGAAAAAAUGAACGAAAAAUAUGUAAUAAAACAUACAGAUGAAUGUAGUGAUUUGUCAAAGGGAGAAGAAGCGUCUAUUUCUGGUGCAACUUUAUCUAUUGAAAUGGAGAAAAUAGAAAAUACAGUCGAGUCAACGGAUGAAGUGAGUGAUAAUACUAUUAGUAGAGAAACAACGGAAGAAGAGAGUGAGAAAGUAAAAGGAACACAAUUGCCACGUACUAUAAAUAUCGUAAAGCCAAAUAAACCUAUAUCGUCAUUUAAAAAAAUGAAUACACAAAAAGGAUUGGUGAAUAAAAUUGGUAAAACAGGUUUUGGUGCUUAUAAAACUGACAGUGCUGACAAAACGAAUAUUACUAGUAAUAACAAUAAUAGCGUAAAAGAUGUAUCCCAAAUAAAAAAUAAAUACAGUUCAAAUGUGACGCAGUCAUUUAGAUUGAACAAGAUAAAAUAUAAUAAUAGUGGCAAUGACAACAAACAUAGUAGCAAUAAUAUUAGUAGAAAUAAUACCAUUAGCAAUAAUACUAAUAACAACAAUAACGA
This 1137-nucleotide long non-coding RNA is filed under the name Piliocolobus tephrosceles (Ugandan red Colobus). RNAcentral describes it as "lncRNA (ENSPTEG00000014755.1)". The record is from RNAcentral. Lineage: Eukaryota; Metazoa; Chordata; Mammalia; Primates; Cercopithecidae.